Molecule: ribosomal RNA, 2926 nt
Filed under: Escherichia coli
Lineage: Bacteria; Pseudomonadati; Pseudomonadota; Gammaproteobacteria; Enterobacterales; Enterobacteriaceae
Description: 23S ribosomal RNA
Rfam family: Bacterial large subunit ribosomal RNA
Source: RNAcentral
GGGUUGUGAGGUUAAGCGACUAAGCGUACACGGUGGAUGCCCUGGCAGUCAGAGGCGAUGAAGGACGUGCUAAUCUGCGAUAAGCGUCGGUAAGGUGAUAUGAACCGUUAUAACCGGCGAUUUCCGAAUGGGGAAACCCAGUGUGUUUCGACACACUAUCAUUAACUGAAUCCAUAGGUUAAUGAGGCGAACCGGGGGAACUGAAACAUCUAAGUACCCCGAGGAAAAGAAAUCAACCGAGAUUCCCCCAGUAGCGGCGAGCGAACGGGGAGCAGCCCAGAGCCUGAAUCAGUGUGUGUGUUAGUGGAAGCGUCUGGAAAGGCGCGCGAUACAGGGUGACAGCCCCGUACACAAAAAUGCACAUGCUGUGAGCUCGAUGAGUAGGGCGGGACACGUGGUAUCCUGUCUGAAUAUGGGGGGACCAUCCUCCAAGGCUAAAUACUCCUGACUGACCGAUAGUGAACCAGUACCGUGAGGGAAAGGCGAAAAGAACCCCGGCGAGGGGAGUGAAAAAGAACCUGAAACCGUGUACGUACAAGCAGUGGGAGCACGCUUAGGCGUGUGACUGCGUACCUUUUGUAUAAUGGGUCAGCGACUUAUAUUCUGUAGCAAGGUUAACCGAAUAGGGAGCCGAAGGAAACCGAGUCUUAACUGGGCGUUAAGUUGCAGGGUAUAGACCCGAAACCCGGUGAUCUAGCCAUGGGCAGGUUGAAGGUUGGGUAACACUAACUGGAGGACCGAACCGACUAAUGUUGAAAAAUUAGCGGAUGACUUGUGGCUGGGGGUGAAAGGCCAAUCAAACCGGGAGAUAGCUGGUUCUCCCCGAAAGCUAUUUAGGUAGCGCCUCGUGAAUUCAUCUCCGGGGGUAGAGCACUGUUUCGGCAAGGGGGUCAUCCCGACUUACCAACCCGAUGCAAACUGCGAAUACCGGAGAAUGUUAUCACGGGAGACACACGGCGGGUGCUAACGUCCGUCGUGAAGAGGGAAACAACCCAGACCGCCAGCUAAGGUCCCAAAGUCAUGGUUAAGUGGGAAACGAUGUGGGAAGGCCCAGACAGCCGGAUGUUGGCUUAGAAGCAGCCAUCAUUUAAAGAAAGCGUAAUAGCUCACUGGUCGAGUCGGCCUGCGCGGAAGAUGUAACGGGCUAAACCAUGCACCGAAGCUGCGGCAGCGACGCUUAUGCGUUGUUGGGUAGGGGAGCGUUCUGUAAGCCUGCGAAGGUGUGCUGUGAGGCAUGCUGGAGGUAUCAGAAGUGCGAAUGCUGACAUAAGUAACGAUAAAGCGGGUGAAAAGCCCGCUCGCCGGAAGACCAAGGGUUCCUGUCCAACGUUAAUCGGGGCAGGGUGAGUCGACCCCUAAGGCGAGGCCGAAAGGCGUAGUCGAUGGGAAACAGGUUAAUAUUCCUGUACUUGGUGUUACUGCGAAGGGGGGACGGAGAAGGCUAUGUUGGCCGGGCGACGGUUGUCCCGGUUUAAGCGUGUAGGCUGGUUUUCCAGGCAAAUCCGGAAAAUCAAGGCUGAGGCGUGAUGACGAGGCACUACGGUGCUGAAGCAACAAAUGCCCUGCUUCCAGGAAAAGCCUCUAAGCAUCAGGUAACAUCAAAUCGUACCCCAAACCGACACAGGUGGUCAGGUAGAGAAUACCAAGGCGCUUGAGAGAACUCGGGUGAAGGAACUAGGCAAAAUGGUGCCGUAACUUCGGGAGAAGGCACGCUGAUAUGUAGGUGAGGUCCCUCGCGGAUGGAGCUGAAAUCAGUCGAAGAUACCAGCUGGCUGCAACUGUUUAUUAAAAACACAGCACUGUGCAAACACGAAAGUGGACGUAUACGGUGUGACGCCUGCCCGGUGCCGGAAGGUUAAUUGAUGGGGUUAGCGCAAGCGAAGCUCUUGAUCGAAGCCCCGGUAAACGGCGGCCGUAACUAUAACGGUCCUAAGGUAGCGAAAUUCCUUGUCGGGUAAGUUCCGACCUGCACGAAUGGCGUAAUGAUGGCCAGGCUGUCUCCACCCGAGACUCAGUGAAAUUGAACUCGCUGUGAAGAUGCAGUGUACCCGCGGCAAGACGGAAAGACCCCGUGAACCUUUACUAUAGCUUGACACUGAACAUUGAGCCUUGAUGUGUAGGAUAGGUGGGAGGCUUUGAAGUGUGGACGCCAGUCUGCAUGGAGCCGACCUUGAAAUACCACCCUUUAAUGUUUGAUGUUCUAACGUUGACCCGUAAUCCGGGUUGCGGACAGUGUCUGGUGGGUAGUUUGACUGGGGCGGUCUCCUCCUAAAGAGUAACGGAGGAGCACGAAGGUUGGCUAAUCCUGGUCGGACAUCAGGAGGUUAGUGCAAUGGCAUAAGCCAGCUUGACUGCGAGCGUGACGGCGCGAGCAGGUGCGAAAGCAGGUCAUAGUGAUCCGGUGGUUCUGAAUGGAAGGGCCAUCGCUCAACGGAUAAAAGGUACUCCGGGGAUAACAGGCUGAUACCGCCCAAGAGUUCAUAUCGACGGCGGUGUUUGGCACCUCGAUGUCGGCUCAUCACAUCCUGGGGCUGAAGUAGGUCCCAAGGGUAUGGCUGUUCGCCAUUUAAAGUGGUACGCGAGCUGGGUUUAGAACGUCGUGAGACAGUUCGGUCCCUAUCUGCCGUGGGCGCUGGAGAACUGAGGGGGGCUGCUCCUAGUACGAGAGGACCGGAGUGGACGCAUCACUGGUGUUCGGGUUGUCAUGCCAAUGGCACUGCCCGGUAGCUAAAUGCGGAAGAGAUAAGUGCUGAAAGCAUCUAAGCACGAAACUUGCCCCGAGAUGAGUUCUCCCUGACUCCUUGAGAGUCCUGAAGGAACGUUGAAGACGACGACGUUGAUAGGCCGGGUGUGUAAGCGCAGCGAUGCGUUGAGCUAACCGGUACUAAUGAACCGUGAGGCUUAACCUUACAACGCCGAAGCUGUU